Cronobacter sakazakii ATCC BAA-894 is the source of this 117-nucleotide non-coding RNA. It matches the Rfam family "Salmonella enterica Typhi npcRNA 44". The record is from Rfam. Lineage: Bacteria; Pseudomonadati; Pseudomonadota; Gammaproteobacteria; Enterobacterales; Enterobacteriaceae.
CUUUAACAAUCCGGAACAAGCUGAAAAUUGAAACAGACAUGCUGCUGCAUUUCUCCGUAAUCAGGAAUGCGCGGUGUGUCAGAGUCUCUCAAACUCGCAGCACGAAGACUUCUUCGG